This 76-nucleotide transfer RNA is filed under the name Microbacterium sp. RNAcentral describes it as "tRNA-Gly". It matches the Rfam family "tRNA". Rfam says of the family: Transfer RNA (tRNA) molecules are approximately 80 nucleotides in length. Their secondary structure includes four short double-helical elements and three loops (D, anti-codon, and T loops). Further hydrogen bonds mediate the characteristic L-shaped molecular structure. tRNAs have two regions of fundamental functional importance: the anti-codon, which is responsible for specific mRNA codon recognition, and the 3' end, to which the tRNAs corresponding amino acid is attached (by aminoacyl-tRNA synthetases). tRNAs cope with the degeneracy of the genetic code in two manners: having more than one tRNA (with a specific anti-codon) for a particular amino acid; and 'wobble' base-pairing, i.e. permitting non-standard base-pairing at the 3rd anti-codon position. The record is from RNAcentral. Lineage: Bacteria; Bacillati; Actinomycetota; Actinomycetes; Micrococcales; Microbacteriaceae.
GCGAGCGUCGCCUAGCGGCCUAGGGCCUCUGGCUUCCACCCAGAUGACGCGGGUUCAAAUCCCGCCGUUCGCUCCA